Molecule: ribosomal RNA, 387 nt
Filed under: uncultured bacterium
Lineage: Bacteria
Description: bacterial SSU rRNA
Rfam family: Bacterial small subunit ribosomal RNA
Source: RNAcentral
AUUGAACGCUGGCGGCAUGCUUUACACAUGCAAGUCGAACGGCAGCAUGGGCUUCGGCCUGAUGGCGAGUGGCGAACGGGUGAGUAAUGCAUCGGAACGUGCCCAGUCGUGGGGGAUAACUACGCGAAAGCGUAGCUAAUACCGCAUACGACCUGAGGGUGAAAGCAGGGGAUCUUCGGACCUUGUGCGAUUGGAGCGGCCGAUGUCAGAUUAGCUAGUUGGUGGGGUAAGAGCCUACCAAGGCGACGAUCUGUAGCGGGUCUGAGAGGAUGAUCCGCCACACUGGGACUGAGACACGGCCCAGACUCCUACGGGAGGCAGCAGUGGGGAAUUUUGGACAAUGGGGGCAACCCUGAUCCAGCCAUGCCGCGUGCGGGAAGAAGGCCU